CUGAACACAAAUGAACCACAUAAAGAGUAGUCAACCCAAAAAUAUAUAUACAGCACCUUUUCUAAAUUUGAUAUCCAGGUCGAAGAGCCAUGACUGAUCCAUCUAACCCAAACUUCACAUCAAUAUAUAUCCAUACAUACAUACACACACACACAUAUACAUACAUACAUACGCAUAUACACAUACAUACAUAUACAUACAAACAUAUAUAACUCCACCAUUGCCAGCCCCAAGCCCAAAUGAGAAAGGAGGGUUUUCUUAAGUUCACAGCCAGCAGAAAACUUUUGCCAGAUCCCAAUCAUGAAUUAGGGAACCCCAAAGAGUUGGGGAUAAAGGCUUGGAUGAUGAUGAUGAUGUUCCCUCUUAUCCUUGAAGGGAGAAAAGCCACAAUUAACCUUCAGUAUCUGAGGAUAAAGGCUGCACAAAAAAGUAAUUUUUCCAACAUUCUAGAUUGGAUUUGAAUUCCAAUGUCAUAUUUGAACUCAUUGAUACCCAAAGAUUUUGAAGUGCUUUGCACUCUGCAAUGCUUUUUCUCAGGUGCUUUAAUUCACAAUAGAAUUUCUACUAAAAUAAGGAGUCUGUUGCAUUUCUUCACAAAAAGAGGCCUACUAAAAGGAGUGCUUACUUUGCUUUAAGAGCGCAAAGCUUCUCAUUGCUUGAAUAGGAGCCCAAGUUACGGCUGCUUUUUUAAUGCUUUGCAUGGCUGCACCGUAGGCAUCAAAUAAGAAGUUGUUUUCCCUUACGCUUUAGCAGGCAUCUAGCAACAAGCGCUCAAAGCAAGUGGCUUAAGCAGUUCCAUUUGCUUUAGCUUAAAGAAUAGCAAUACGAAUUUGAGCACCCUUACUUUUGCUCAAAUCGCAGUAGGAACCUCUUAAAUGGUAUCUCAAGUUUUGCAUCACAAUAGGAGUCCAACUAAACCAAAAUUAUUCUUCACUCUGCAAUAGGAUUCAAAGUAAACUUUUACUGCUUUUCUCUCUAGUGUAUUAUAGAGUCCAGUUCAAUCAAAGAAUUACUUGUGCUUCUUGCUUCUUGGAGUUCAACUUCGAGAAAAAAAAAAAAAAACUUUUGCUCUCUCUUUGUGCUUUGCUUCACUUUUGAGUGUUUAGCUUUGUUAUACGAGUCUAAAAGAGAACUUUGCUUUCAGUAAGCUUUGCUAGAGGCUCUUCAUUUCCAUAGCUUUUUUUUUUUGCUUCAGUAUAGCAACCAAAAGAGCUCAAAGACAGGGUCAAAAGCUUUAGCAGUUGCCUUAACUUCAAGCACAUUAGCUAAAACAGUUCCAGAGCUUAAGCAUUUGCCUAAGCAUCAAGCACAGUUAUUUAUGCGCAUGAGUGAAAGGUAGCUUGAGGUGUUGUGCUAUAGGCAUUCGUACUCUUAAUGAGGGCAAUAGCACCAGUAAGAUUCCUAGCAUGAUAGUUCUCUAGAAGCAUGAUAGUUCUCAGCUAGCUGUCUUGCUUAUCAGCAAGUAAUAAGCUAUAUGCAUUACAGUUUCUAGUGUCCAGUUUAGAAAUGAGAUAUCCAUAAGCAAGCUUAUCGAGCAUACAAAAGCUUCUCCAAGUCCCUAUUUCCCUUCCCCUAAGGUCCCAACAACAACAUCAAUGGAGAGAGAGAAAAAGAGAGAGAGAGAGAGGUGGUCCAUCUACCCAAAUGGUUUACUGUUUCUAUAGAGAGAGAUAAAGAGGUGGCCACCUACCCUUUUUUUUUUUUGGGUUUUAGAGAGAGAAUGCCGAUUCCAACAAGCGGAGAAAAAUCCAUGGCAUGAGAUGGUUGUUUUUACUAGUUUUUAUUAACGUAGAGCGAGUCAAACUAGACACUCGACACUUAUCUAUGAAGAAAAUGAAUCAAAUUUAUCAAAUAGCACAUUAUGCUUGUUUCUCAUUGUUCUUGUGUAUUUAGUGUUAUCAUGAAAUAAUAUCCUUUUUGUUAAACUUAAAUUUAUAUUUCAAAAUUUGAAUAUAUUAUCCUACUAGGAUUCAAUUUUCAAGAAAAAAAAAGUCCUGGCCACCUAGACGGCUAGGCGGCCUCCCUAGGCGAGCGCCCAAGGCAAACACCUAGGUAGCCUGCAUAAGGGGGACGGUAGGGUUGCUAGACCCUGGCGGCUUGUUGGAACCCCUUGUUUUUCAUUAUAGAAUAUCAUUUUUUUGUUUUAUAAAUAUGGUUUUAUAGUUUGUUGUAUACAAUUUAUUGUUAAAUACAUAUCAAACUUAAACACACAUGACUAAAACUGUGAAUAAAAUAGUUAAAAGUUACAUUAAAGAAUGAAAAUUACCAGGCAUAAUUAGGAAAUGUUAAUUUUAUGCUUAUCCCAAAACUCAAGAUAUCCAUUAAGUCGCAAUAGAUAUCUGAGUUAAAAAAAGUCACAUCUGAAAAUUCAAAGGCUAUAAACUAGAAAAAUUAAUCUUCUCUACCCCAAAAUUAUAAUAAAUUCAAAUAUGAGGUUGAGUUUCAUCAACACCAGCAACAUGAAAUCCACGUCCAAGGCCAGUAUGAAAUGCACCUGAAUUUCAUGAUGAUUUCAAGCCAUCGUAAUUAGAGUCAUCCUCCUCGACCUUCUUCCCGUGUCUCCUCCGAAUCUUG
Molecule: long non-coding RNA, 2574 nt
Filed under: Amborella trichopoda
Lineage: Eukaryota; Viridiplantae; Streptophyta; Magnoliopsida; Amborellales; Amborellaceae
Description: long non-coding RNA (ATRI_LNC003282)
Source: RNAcentral